AGUGAACGCUGGCGAUAGGCCUAACACAUGCAAGUCGAACGGCAGCACAGUAAGAGCUUGCUCUUACGGGUGGCGAGUGGCGGACGGGUGAGGAAUACAUCGGAAUCUACUUUUUCGUGGGGGAUAACGUAGGGAAACUUACGCUAAUACCGCAUACGACCUACGGGUGAAAGCAGGGGAUCUUCGGACCUUGCGCGAUUGAAUGAGCCGAUGUCGGAUUAGCUAGUUGGCGGGGUAAAGGCCCACCAAGGCGACGAUCCGUAGCUGGUCUGAGAGGAUGAUCAGCCACACUGGAACUGAGACACGGUCCAGACUCCUACGGGAGGCAGCAGUGGGGAAUAUUGGACAAUGGGCGCAAGCCUGAUCCAGCCAUACCGCGUGGGUGAAGAAGGCCCUCGGGUUGUAAAGCCCUUUUGUUGGGAAAGAAAAGCAGCAGGUUAAUACCCCGCUGUUCUGACGGUACCCAAAGAAUAAGCACCGGCUAACUUCGUG
RNAcentral lists this ribosomal RNA (492 nucleotides) under uncultured bacterium. RNAcentral's name for it is "partial 16S ribosomal RNA". It matches the Rfam family "Bacterial small subunit ribosomal RNA", at positions 29 to 507 of the family's 1533-position model. The record is from RNAcentral.